GAUCGGCCAACGCAUUCAUUCAUGUGCGCGCCCGUGUGCAGUCGCGUACAAGCGCACGCACGCGCGGGCCAACCGGAAAGCUUGACGGAGAGGCGUCGGCGCCGGCGUAGCUGGGAGAUCAAAAUGAGCAAUGCCGCACAACGGGCGGGGUCGUGUCACGGGGAAGAAAAGCGCCCGUCUCUUGGCCUCCAAGUUGCUUCGCGGGCGUUACAUGGGACGUGCCCACGAACAUCGAUGGAGCUUUUCGUUUUGACCGGACUCAUCGAGUGGGGAUUAAGCUUCUGACCGUAGGAGUUUCAUUCAGACGGGCUGCCUUCUUGCAUUCGCGUGGCGUGGUAUUAGCAGGGGGGACAGGUGAUACUGCCAUGAUACGUAUGUCGUUACAUUGAUUAUUUACUAGCUUAGCUGCUCUGGGGAUGGCAUACUUGUUGGGUCCGUGACAUGGUUCGUCCAAGC
This 456-nucleotide long non-coding RNA is filed under the name Hordeum vulgare. Its description in RNAcentral is "long non-coding RNA (HVUL_LNC005368)". Lineage: Eukaryota; Viridiplantae; Streptophyta; Magnoliopsida; Poales; Poaceae. The record is from RNAcentral.